GUUUAAAUAGUUUAAUUAAAAUACUAAUUUGUGGGGUUAGGGAUAUGAGGAUUCAUUUUAAACA
Molecule: transfer RNA, 64 nt
Filed under: Hylastes brunneus
Lineage: Eukaryota; Metazoa; Arthropoda; Insecta; Coleoptera; Curculionidae
Description: tRNA-His
Source: RNAcentral